AACGCACAUUGCGCCCACUGGUAUUCCGGUGGGCAUGCCUGUUCGAGCGUCAUUAUCCUCCCUCAAACCCCGGGUUUGGUGUUGGACCCAAGUUGUGCAUCUGAACAACUGGUCUCAAAGACAAUGACGGCGUCCGUGGGACCCUCGGUGCAACGAGCUUCUAGGAGCACGCGUCGAGUUUCAAGGUCCUUCCGGGCCGGUCUCCUUCUUACUAUUUACAAGGUUGACCUCGGAUCAGGUAGGAAUACCCGCUGAACUUAA
This 261-nucleotide unclassified non-coding RNA is filed under the name uncultured fungus. Its description in RNAcentral is "partial contains 5.8S ribosomal RNA, internal transcribed spacer 2, and large subunit ribosomal RNA". The stretch from base 1 to 52 matches the Rfam family "5.8S ribosomal RNA", at positions 103 to 154 of the family's 154-position model. Lineage: Eukaryota; Fungi. The record is from RNAcentral.